RNAcentral lists this ribosomal RNA (496 nucleotides) under uncultured bacterium. Its description in RNAcentral is "partial 16S ribosomal RNA". It matches the Rfam family "Bacterial small subunit ribosomal RNA", at positions 28 to 523 of the family's 1533-position model. The record is from RNAcentral.
GAUGAACGCUAGCGGCAGGCCUAAUACAUGCAAGUCGAGGGGUAGAGCUAGCUUGCUAGCUUGAGACCGGCGCACGGGUGCGUAACGCGUAUGCAACCUACCCUUUUCUGGGGGAUAGCCCGGAGAAAUCCGGAUUAAUACCGCAUAAGACCACGAUACGGCAUCGUGAUGUGGUCAAACAUUUAUGGGAGAAGGAUGGGCAUGCGUGCCAUUAGCUAGUUGGCGGGGUAACGGCCCACCAAGGCGACGAUGGCUAGGGGAUCUGAGAGGAUGGCCCCCCACACUGGUACGGAGACACGGACCAGACUCCUACGGGAGGCAGCAGUAAGGAAUAUUGGUCAAUGGGGGCAACCCUGAACCAGCCAUGCCGCGUGCAGGACGACGGCCCUCCGGGUUGUAAACUGCUUUUGUACGGGAAUAAACCCCGCUACGUGUAGCGGGCUGAAUGUACCGUAAGAAUAAGGAUCGGCUAACUCCGUGCCAGCCGCCGCCGUAA